GUAGGGUGCGAGCGCUGUCCGGAAUUAUUGGGCGUAAAGGGCUCGUAGGCGGUUUGUUGCGUCGGAAGUGAAAACUCAGGGCUUAACCCUGAGCCUGCUUCCGAUACGGGCAGACUAGAGGUAUGCAGGGGAGAACGGAAUUCCUGGUGUAGCGGUGAAAUGCGCAGAUAUCAGGAGGAACACCGGUGGCGAAGGCGGUUCUCUGGGCAUUACCUGACGCUGAGGAGCGAAAGUGUGGGGAGCGAACAGGAUUAGAUACCCUGGUAGUCCACACCGUAAACGUUGGGCGCUAGGUGUGGGACUCAUUCCACGAGUUCCGUGCCGCAGCUAACGCAUUAAGCGCCCCGCCUGGGGAGUACGGCCGCAAGGCUA
This 372-nucleotide ribosomal RNA is filed under the name uncultured bacterium. RNAcentral describes it as "bacterial SSU rRNA". It matches the Rfam family "Bacterial small subunit ribosomal RNA", at positions 527 to 896 of the family's 1533-position model. The record is from RNAcentral.